This is a non-coding RNA of Mycena latifolia, 92 nucleotides long. Lineage: Eukaryota; Fungi; Basidiomycota; Agaricomycetes; Agaricales; Mycenaceae. The record is from the annotation of a GenBank genome assembly.
GGCUUGAUGGUGUAGUGGUAACAUCUCCUCUCUAUAUACGACAGGAUGAUGCAUUUCUGAGGAAGUCCCCUGUCCGACUCGGGGUCAGGCCA